RNAcentral lists this ribosomal RNA (651 nucleotides) under uncultured bacterium. RNAcentral describes it as "bacterial SSU rRNA". It matches the Rfam family "Bacterial small subunit ribosomal RNA", at positions 202 to 839 of the family's 1533-position model. The record is from RNAcentral.
GAAAGAUGGCUUUGGCUAUCACUCUGGGAUGGACCUGCGGUGCAUUAGCUAGUUGGUAAGGUAACGGCUUACCAAGGCGAUGAUGCAUAGCCGAGUUGAGAGACUGAUCGGCCACAAUGGAACUGAGACACGGUCCAUACUCCUACGGGAGGCAGCAGUAGGGAAUCUUCCACAAUGGGCGCAAGCCUGAUGGAGCAACACCGCGUGAGUGAAGAAGGGUUUCGGCUCGUAAAGCUCUGUUGUUGGAGAAGAACGUGCGUGAGAGUAACUGUUCACGCAGUGACGGUAUCCAACCAGAAAGUCACGGCUAACUACGUGCCAGCAGCCGCGGUAAUACGUAGGUGGCAAGCGUUAUCCGGAUUUAUUGGGCGUAAAGCGAGCGCAGGCGGUUGCUUAGGUCUGAUGUGAAAGCCUUCGGCUUAACCGAAGAAGUGCAUCGGAAACCGGGCGACUUGAGUGCAGAAGAGGACAGUGGAACUCCAUGUGUAGCGGUGGAAUGCGUAGAUAUAUGGAAGAACACCAGUGGCGAAGGCGGCUGUCUGGUCUGCAACUGACGCUGAGGCUCGAAAGCAUGGGUAGCGAACAGGAUUAGAUACCCUGGUAGUCCAUGCCGUAAACGAUGAGUGCUAGGUGUUGGAGGGUUUCCGCCCU